ACGGGGUGCAGCAGGCGCGAAAACUUUACAAUGCGGGAAACCGUGAUAAGGGGACACCGAGUGCCAGCAUCAUAUGCUGGCUGUCCAGGUGUGUAAAAUACACCUGUUAGCAAGGGCCGGGCAAGACCGGUGCCAGCCGCCGCGGUAACACCGGCGGCCCGAGUGGUGAUCGUGAUUAUUGGGUCUAAAGGGUCCGUAGCCGGUUUGGUCAGUCCUCCGGGAAAUCUGAUAGCUCAACUAUUAGGCUUUCGGGGGAUACUGCCAGACUUGGAACCGGGAGAGGUAAGAGGUACUACAGGGG
This 301-nucleotide ribosomal RNA is filed under the name uncultured archaeon. Its description in RNAcentral is "bacterial SSU rRNA". It matches the Rfam family "Archaeal small subunit ribosomal RNA", at positions 325 to 626 of the family's 1478-position model. The record is from RNAcentral.